UAAGGUAACGGCUUACCAAGGCAACGAUGCAUAGCCGACCUGAGAGGGUGAUCGGCCACACUGGAACUGAGACACGGUCCAGACUCCUACGGGAGGCAGCAGUAGGGAAUCUUCCGCAAUGGGCGAAAGCCUGACGGAGCAACGCCGCGUGAGUGAUGAAGGUCUUCGGAUCGUAAAACUCUGUUAUUAGGGAAGAACAUAUGUGUAAGUAACUGUGCACAUCUUGACGGUACCUAAUCAGAAAGCCACGGCUAACUACGUGCCAGCAGCCGCGGUAAUACGUAGGUGGCAAGCGUUAUCCGGAAUUAUUGGGCGUAAAGCGCGCGUAGGCGGUUUUUUAAGUCUGAUGUGAAAGCCCACGGCUCAACCGUGGAGGGUCAUUGGAAACUGGAAAACUUGAGUGCAGAAGAGGAAAGUGGAAUUCCAUGUGUAGCGGUGAAAUGCGCAGAGAUAUGGAGGAACACCAGUGGCGAAGGCGACUUUCUGGUCUGUAACUGACGCUGAUGUGCGAAAGCGUGGGGAUCAAACAGGAUU
Molecule: ribosomal RNA, 534 nt
Filed under: Staphylococcus aureus
Lineage: Bacteria; Bacillati; Bacillota; Bacilli; Caryophanales; Staphylococcaceae
Description: bacterial SSU rRNA
Rfam family: Bacterial small subunit ribosomal RNA
Source: RNAcentral